This 1139-nucleotide long non-coding RNA is filed under the name Capra hircus (goat). RNAcentral describes it as "lncRNA (ENSCHIG00010014524.1)". Lineage: Eukaryota; Metazoa; Chordata; Mammalia; Artiodactyla; Bovidae. The record is from RNAcentral.
UCAGACAUGUCAAAUGCAUCAGGUUUCACUAAAAACUGUGGGGUUGGCUCUUUAAUGUGACUCUGAGCACAGUGAGGACCAAAAUGCCCUGAACCCAGCAUGGAUGUCCUCUGGUCUGGCUGUUAAGACAAAGCUUUGAUCUCAUCUUGAGAGGCUCCCGGGCGGACUUUUUGCUGGAGGUCAGGAAAUAGACUUCCCUGGUCAGUCCUGGGAGAGAACCCACGCUGACAGUGGAAACCCAGAUUGAAACAACAUGUUCCCAACCUCUCUCAAAUGCAAAGCUCUUUGCUCGUCUAUUGUCUGAACCUAUUUUUACCAUGAAAAGCUCUCCAAUGUCAUUUUAGCUAUCAAUAAUUGGCAGUGAGUUUUUGCAAUUAACAGCUGCCCAGAAUCAAUUUCAAUGAGCUGCACAGAAAAAUCAUUGCCAAAAAAGCACAUUUGGGGAUUACUCAGCUGCUUACCUGUUCCUCAAUCCUUUUCUUACCCAACACGUCAUCUCUAGGAAGAACCUGAAACCUGAACCAUGUGCCUAAAGGCCCAGUUCUGAGUAUCUGGUAGAUAUUUGAGAAAUUCUCUGAUCAAUGUGUCCCUAGAGGAAAGGAAUGGGCAGUUCCACAAGGAGCUGCUGUGUAAUUCAUAACAAAGAGCUGACUCAUAACUCCUGUCUAAUUUCAGACAAAAGACCCCAAGGAAAGAUUUGGGUAAAUAAGUUGGCCUCAAAGGAAAGCCACUGAAGUUUACUUGUUCCUUCAAAGGAAAGCAAUAAAGGAUCGCCAACUGUGAUGGGCACAUCUCAAGCUUUGCUGGUUUAUCUCACUCAUCAAUAAUACCAACGAGGGUCUUCUGGGAAGCUGAACUCCCCACCCAUCACACCCAAGCCAACUGGAGACAUAACUCAAAGCCUUGUUCCUUAUCUGGUGGGCUUGGGGCAAGAAACCCUCCAACGGCAGCAACCUGGGAGGAAGUGCUUGCUAAGGCAAGAGGUGGGGCAAGGUGGAGCCCAGAGGUGCACAAGCUCCCAGAACCCUCAGCCGCUCAGUCUAAGACUCUCCUGCCUGAUUCCACCUAGAUCUUCUUUAAAUCAGCCUCAGCCCAGGAGUUAUCCCGGGGCCUGGUGUUUACAGCCGAGCCCCAUAUAA